UGGGCAACCUGCCCCUCUCUCUGGGAUAAACCCCCGGGGAAAACCGGAGCUAAUACCGGAUACUCCGGCUGGAUCGCAUGGUCCGGCCGGGAAAGGUCCGCCGGAGAGGGAUGGGCCCGNGGCCUAUCAGCUUGUUGGUGGGGUCAUGGCUCACCAAGGCGACGACGGGUAGCUGGUCUGAGAGGACGACCAGCCACACUGGAACUGAGAUACGGUCCAGACUCCGUACGGGAGCA
RNAcentral lists this ribosomal RNA (236 nucleotides) under uncultured bacterium. RNAcentral describes it as "partial 16S ribosomal RNA". It matches the Rfam family "Bacterial small subunit ribosomal RNA", at positions 118 to 347 of the family's 1533-position model. The record is from RNAcentral.